This 448-nucleotide ribosomal RNA is filed under the name uncultured bacterium. RNAcentral's name for it is "bacterial SSU rRNA". It matches the Rfam family "Bacterial small subunit ribosomal RNA", at positions 330 to 792 of the family's 1533-position model. The record is from RNAcentral.
CCCAGACUCCUACGGGAGGCAGCAGUGGGGAAUAUUGCACAAUGGGGGAAACCCUGAUGCAGCGACGCCGCGUGAGCGAAGAAGUAUUUCGGUAUGUAAAGCUCUAUCAGCAGGGAAGAAAAAAAUGACGGUACCUGAGUAAGAAGCACCGGCUAAAUACGUGCCAGCAGCCGCGGUAAUACGUAUGGUGCAAGCGUUAUCCGGAUUUACUGGGUGUAAAGGGAGCGUAGGCGGCGCGUUAAGUCUGAUGUGAAAACCCGAGGCUCAACCACGGGAGUGCAUUGGAAACUGGCGGGCUGGAGUGCCGGAGAGGUAAGCGGAAUUCCUAGUGUAGCGGUGAAAUGCGUAGAUAUUAGGAGGAACACCAGUGGCGAAGGCGGCUUACUGGACGGCAACUGACGCUGAGGCUCGACAGCGUGGGGAGCAAACAGGAUUAGAUCCCCUUGUA